AGUGAACGCUGGCGGUAGGCCUAACACAUGCAAGUCGAACGGCAGCACAGUAAGAGCUUGCUCUUACGGGUGGCGAGUGGCGGACGGGUGAGGAAUACAUCGGAAUCUACUUUUUCGUGGGGGAUAACGUAGGGAAACUUACGCUAAUACCGCAUACGACCUACGGGUGAAAGCAGGGGAUCUUCGGACCUUGCGCGAUUGAAUGAGCCGAUGUCGGAUUAGCUAGUUGGCGGGGUAAAGGCCCACCAAGGCGACGAUCCGUAGCUGGUCUGAGAGGAUGAUAAGCCACACUGGAACUGAGACACGGUCCAGACUCCUACGGGAGGCAGCAGUGGGGAAUAUUGGACAAUGGGCGCAAGCCUGAUACAGCCAUACCGCGUGGGUGAAGAAGGCCUUCGGGUUGUAAAGCCCUUUUGUUGGGAAAGAAAAGCAGCAGGUUAAUACCCCGCUGUUCUGACGGUACCCAAAGAAUAAGCACCGGCUAACCUCGUG
Molecule: ribosomal RNA, 492 nt
Filed under: uncultured bacterium
Lineage: Bacteria
Description: partial 16S ribosomal RNA
Rfam family: Bacterial small subunit ribosomal RNA
Source: RNAcentral